CAUCUAUGGGUGCUAUGUUUGGGCUUGUUAUCAUUUGCUGUAGCUGAAGACUUUACCACCAUGCUAUUAUUGCUGUACUUGAGGUAAAGUUGUCUUAUGAUACCUUGAAGUUCUUCGCUUGGAAUUCUCUGUUUGCUGCUCUGAAAGUUAUUGUUGUGUGGGUUGGGACUGAAUGUCUAAAUUAUGUCUUUCCUAAUAGACUUGGUUUUCUUUUUGGUCUGGAUAUAACAGUAACAUGAGCCUAAUUUUUCCUAUGUAUGAUCCUGCUGCUUUCUUAGACAAAGAAGUAGUUUGUUAACACACUCUGCAUCCUUAUGUCUAUUUGCAUCUGUUCAUUUGAUGUUUUUCUCCUGCAGAGUGGCAGUAAGUACUUCUGAGACAUUAAAUAGUGGAACAAUUCAAACCCAUGAUUUAGAACUGUCAUUCUGAGGAUGUAUUCCCUUAGAUGGACGGGUUGGGGUUAUUUCUGAACAUGAAAUGAACUCAUGCAGAAGAAGUCUUAGGAACUCUUACAGAGAAGUGUCACAGUAUGGAAAUUGAAAUCAAGCUCUUUAAUGUAUCCUCUAGGGCAUGGUGUGGCCCUAGAGGUUUGAAAGGACACGAGAAGGGUGAAAUAUUUCUACAACUUCAAUUACUCCUUGAACAGAUAUGAACUCCUGAGGACAACGUUUGGUCAUCCUGGAUUACACUAACAGGACAUACAUUAGUGCUGUGUCCAUAAGGUCUUUUAAGGAAAGAUGCUGGAGCCAUUAGUGUGAUACGAUCAGGGGCAUUCUGUGGCUGGCCUGAAAGAAUGCAGGAGAUGGCCCCUAGUAGAUGAAGAACUUAAGAACUGAGCUUCUUCUGACAGCCCAGUGAUGGGAAGAGAUGGAGCAAGAGCCAUGCAGAUGUUUCUGGGCUGAGGAUCACUUCUCAGUAAGCUUCUGGUAGCAGAACUAGCAACAGAGCUGGAGAGGUGAGGAGGAAGAUUGGGU
Molecule: long non-coding RNA, 974 nt
Filed under: Meleagris gallopavo (turkey)
Lineage: Eukaryota; Metazoa; Chordata; Aves; Galliformes; Phasianidae
Description: lncRNA (ENSMGAG00000019206.1)
Source: RNAcentral